This is a long non-coding RNA of Sphaeramia orbicularis (orbiculate cardinalfish), 974 nucleotides long. RefSeq lists it as uncharacterized. NCBI's taxonomy places the organism in Eukaryota, Metazoa, Chordata, Actinopteri, Kurtiformes, Apogonidae. The record is from RefSeq and is a predicted model, not a curated record. The transcript is spliced from 2 exons.
UGUAAACAUUUUCACUAUGUAACUGUACUUUUUUCACUUAUUAUUUUAGUGGUCUGACCCACUUCAGAUCAUUUUGAGCUGAAUGUGGCCCCUGAACUAAAAUAAGUCUGACACCCCUGACAUGGACAUUUAUUUUGUGACAACACUUCUCUUACAUAACUCAUCAUACAGGGUUUUAUCUGUCAGUGAUGGAAGAUCUCAUUUCCAAAAUGCACUGCAUCAAUUUCAGAAGAGGCUCUUGAUGUUCAUACAUAUUGAUUAAAGAGUAAUUUCGAGAGCCAGUUGAUCAUUAUCAUUUAUUAUCAUUAAAUGAGCCGAGGAUUUAAGAUCCCCUCAGUAUUUUUAGCGUAAAGUGAACUCAGGCUAAAGUGCUAAUACAGCGUUUUCCUUAUGAGUCAUUUUUUGUCCACAUUAUUAGGUUGAUCAAAGUUCAUUCGCAGCACAUUUCAGACAGAUUAGUGUCUGAUGACGAAGACAGUACAUAUGUAAGAAUAAAGCAAGGAUAAGAAAAGAUGAAAAUGUUGUAAAAUGGAUUAAAAACAUUAAAAAUGAGCAUUUGAAUAGCCAGUAUAAAGAGGUCCGUUUUACAUUUUAGCACUGUUAUGAUCUGUGAAUCAUGCAAACAUUAAUACAGCAGUCUGAAAUGUCCACUUUCAUCUUCUGUUUUACUGCAAAACAGGCGGAGUUUGUAGAGGAAAGUGCCCUCAGGGUUGUUCAGCAGACAAAUGAACCUGUCCUCGAUUACAGAUUUGUUAUGUUUCUACAAACCAGCCCAUGUUAAAGAGUUUCAAAGUGAAUGAUCCAGAUGCUGUAGGUGUAGAUGGGAAUCAGGAGACAUGGUCUGAGCGGUAGUCGACUGGAUGUGUUUGUAAAGUGCUCUUUUUGUCUUGUCUCAUUAUCUAAACUGUUAAUUUACCUCUGUGUAAAUAAAACUGUACAUACUCGACUUGUAAAUAAAUACCUUUUGAAUAGAA